Molecule: small nucleolar RNA, 107 nt
Organism: Lathyrus oleraceus (garden pea)
Lineage: Eukaryota; Viridiplantae; Streptophyta; Magnoliopsida; Fabales; Fabaceae
Source: RefSeq, a predicted model, not a curated record
AUUCCAUGAUAGGGACACCGCCUCAAUAGAUAUUUAAACCUUUCCCAAGCAUCAAAUAAAGAUUCAUUUUAUCCUUGCCUAAAAAAAGUCAUUUCAUUCCUUAUUUU